CGGGCGGGCCGUUACCUCCCGCGCAUGCUCUAUGGGGUAGAGACGCUAGGCCGGCACUGCCUAGGUGGGCCGGGCGGUGCGAGGGUCGCCUUUCAGCCUUUACCUCUACCCACUGAAAUGGAGUAGGUCGGUGAGCGCCGAUCUGCUGGAGAAUCUCAUUAUCCCAUCGGCGCUCUGCCUGCUCCUGGCCUCCAAGCCUCUGAAGCCCCUCGGGUUUCAGCUGCCGGCUACCCUCGAGCCCGUGGUGCCCACGAGAGAGGCGACUUUACGUCAGCGGCCCUGGGCUGAGAUUUGAGAACGCGACCAAGUGGAGAAUGUUGGAGCCAGAUUUUAAAAUCCUUGUCUUCCUUCUGCGUGCUACUUGAUCUAAAUGAGAUACGGCAAAGUCACAGAACCUGUUUUUAUGUUUUUGCCUGAUUCAUACGGGCUUCUCCGGUGAAGAUGGGCCUGAAGUAACGCUUGGGUUGCUUCUGACGUUAUAACUCAUCCUGUAGCUGCAGCAACCGUGGUCCUUGCAACCUCAUAAAAAUGUUGCCAGCAUUGUUUCGAUAGUGCUGCUUAAUUCUUGGAAGGUUCUUCGGACUUCACACAUUCCAGCAGUAGCUCUCUCAGCUCCUGUCCUGCACAGCUUUGAAGUGCUGGUGAUGUCAUUGAACUCUUAAGUGCAAGAUGAAACAAGUCUUUCUGGGGUUCUAAGUAGCGUCUUCAAAGUGUCUUCUGUAAAGACUUCUUCAGACUGUCAAUAGGAAGACUGAUAAACUCAGUUCAGAUGCGAGAGGAAAUCGAGUCAUCAUCAAUGGCACCUCAUGUUAGCCUGCCAUGGCAACAAGCUCAUUGAUUGAGUAAAAGAACUUUCAGAUGCACUAGCUGGUCUUUAACGGGUUGCUGAAAGCACAGAUAAGACGACUGAGGGAGCCGACUGAAUUUCCAUGGAUAUAUACAAAGGGAAUGGAAAAUCACAGUACGAUUUUUCAUUGGCUCCUGAUAGAGCUAGGUCCUUGUAUAAUUCUAAAACUGGUGUAUAAAACAAUGUCCACGCCAUUCAUUUUGGUUAUAACUAUUAAGGGGAAGGGAGAUGAUGUCUGUGGAAUUGCAAAGUAGUUUGCACUAGAAUUUUCUAUUACAUAUGCUCUAAUAGGAGUAUUUUCCUCUGUUACAUUAUGACUUAUGUAAUAAUAAUAGCUAAGGAUUACUGAGGGUUUUUAUUUUCUUUUCUGCAUGAUCUUGACCGUUUUUCGAAACAGUCCUUGUUGCUGGAUACUAUUUAUGUCACCAUUUUACAAAUGAGAAUGCCAAAGUUCAGAGUGACAUCCAUCUAAAAGAGGCCAGUUUCAGCCUUGAACCCAUUAUACUCUAAUCCCAUUUUCAAAGUAACUCUUGGUUUUCUCAAAAGGCCUUUAAAUGUAUGGAUAAGCCAAUAUGAGGGCAGCAAUGUUGUGGUUAAGUGUGUGCACUUUGGUUGGACUCUGCCGAAGGCCAGCACCACCAUUUAGUAGCUAUGUGAACCAGUGAGUUACUUAAAACCUAUACCUCCACUUCCUCAUCUGCAAAAUGGGGUUGUGGUAAGGCUGGAAUAAGUUAAUGCAUGUAGCAUGUUGAGAAGGCACUGUCUAAGCGCAUGGCACAUGGUAAGCAUGUAGGAAACAGCAACACAUGCCUGGGUCUGAGUUCUGCUCUGUCAUGAUGAUUGGUGCCCAACGGGAAAAGCUCUUCCGCACCAGCGUUUUACAAGCCUAGCUCCUCCUUUUCCAAAACAAGUUCCCAGGCCAUGGUCAAUAUCAACAUUCAGGGGAAAUACAUUCUGUUCAUUGUAGAUAUGACAGUGAGAAUAUUUGCUGAAUAACAAUUAAGCUAUCUGAUUGCGUAAUAGUUAAAAGGUUUGUUUUUACCAUCUGUGAAUUAAAGCCAAAAAUAACAACCAAUUCAUAGAAUAUUGUGACGGUUAUAGGAGAUGCAGCUUGUCAGCUGCUCAGCUCAGCGGCCUGGGCAUGAUUAGAAUUCCACACAUAAUAGUGAUUACCAUCAGUAUUAUUAUUAUUAAGGCAACACAGUGAUCGUAGUAAUGGUAAAACAGAGAGAUCUACCUAAUCCAAAAUUCUAUUCAACAAGGGAGUUUCUACAUAUAGCCACUAUGGUUUCUAAUUUUCAAAGAAUCAGCAUAUAAUAAAAUGCUCUCAAUAAUAAAGCUGAACUGAAUAUAUUAUAAUAACUUAAUGAGGCAGAAGACAUUUGAGAUGCCUCAAUUAUCAAUGUGUUUCACAGAUUCAAAAGUGUAACUUUAUACAUUUAUUCAAUAGAUAAAACACUGACUAGGUCCGCUUAAAGUUGAAAUAGAUUUUUGGAUUCUCUCAAAGUAUAGGGCAAUAACAAAUAUAGAAGUUUUCUGAAAAAAAAUAAGCAAAAUAGAAAUAGUACUAUUAUUAGUUUUAAAAUAUUAUAAAAGAAUUUUAAAUGAGACAAAAAUAAUAUGAUGGCAAUAUAUGGCCUUUUACAAAGAGAGGAACUGAGGCAGGGAGGAGAAAUAAUUCUAGAAUGACAUGCUGGUUAGAGGUAUGAUGUGUCGGACCACAAGAAUGAUGUGAUUCUGACUUUUCCUUUAUUUACAAAUCACUUUGGAUAAACCGAUGGCUCUUGCUGAGCCCCUGGGUUGGUGGAGGAGUAACAUGCCUGGGAGUCGAGCAUCCUAAGACGUGCACCCUGAGGACUGCAGGAAAAGUGCAGAAAUUAGGUAGAAAUAGGGCUUGUUUAGCAUUCAUGAUGGCUAGGUGUCUUACUGCAGGUGUCUUAAGAAACUACCCAGUAACUCACUGAACCAGCAACUCUGUGCAUGGCCUCCUGAGAGGUGAGGGACACAAAGAUUUUAUCAAGAGUGAAGCAUGUGUCUGUGUUCAAGUAUCUUGCAAAAUGAAGACAAAAGAAGUAGUUUGCAAUUAGCUCUUAGUUCCUACCUUUCAAAGAAGCAUCCGCCAGUCAGGUGAGAUGAAACUGACCAUGAAGAGAAGCUUGUAUCUGUAUAAAAUGCAAACCUGUUUGGACAGCGGAAUGGGGUUUGCUUCAAACUUCAGGGUGCAUUUAUAUAAAGCAACAGAGAGUGCACUUUCUAAUAAAAAUAAAAUGAAGCUCAAAUGGCACAAGAGUCUCCUUAUAUUUAAAAUGGUUCUCGUAAAGUAACAUUUUGAUGAUUUAAAU
This 3189-nucleotide long non-coding RNA is filed under the name Homo sapiens (human). RNAcentral's name for it is "HSALNT0332371". Lineage: Eukaryota; Metazoa; Chordata; Mammalia; Primates; Hominidae. The record is from RNAcentral.